Molecule: ribosomal RNA, 465 nt
Filed under: uncultured Klebsiella sp.
Lineage: Bacteria; Pseudomonadati; Pseudomonadota; Gammaproteobacteria; Enterobacterales; Enterobacteriaceae
Description: bacterial SSU rRNA
Rfam family: Bacterial small subunit ribosomal RNA
Source: RNAcentral
CCUACGGGCGGCAGCAGUGGGGAAUAUUGCACAAUGGGCGCAAGCCUGAUGCAGCCAUGCCGCGUGUGUGAAGAAGGCCUUCGGGUUGUAAAGCACUUUCAGCGGGGAGGAAGGCGGUGAGGUUAAUAACCUCAUCGAUUGACGUUACCCGCAGAAGAAGCACUGGCUAACUCCGUGCCAGCAGCCGCGGUAAUACGGAGGGUGCAAGCGUUAAUCGGAAUUACUGGGCGUAAAGCGCACGCAGGCGGUCUGUCAAGUCGGAUGUGAAAUCCCCGGGCUCAACCUGGGAACUGCAUUCGAAACUGGCAGGCUAGAGUCUUGUAGAGGGGGGUAGAAUUCCAGGUGUAGCGGUGAAAUGCGUAGAGAUCUGGAGGAAUACCGGUGGCGAAGGCGGCCCCCUGGACAAAGACUGACGCUCAGGUGCGAAAGCGUGGGGAGCAAACAGGAUUAGAUACCCUUGUAGUC